RNAcentral lists this ribosomal RNA (428 nucleotides) under uncultured Bacillus sp. RNAcentral describes it as "bacterial SSU rRNA". It matches the Rfam family "Bacterial small subunit ribosomal RNA", at positions 355 to 774 of the family's 1533-position model. Lineage: Bacteria; Bacillati; Bacillota; Bacilli; Caryophanales; Bacillaceae. The record is from RNAcentral.
UAGGGAAUCUUCCGCAAUGGACGAAAGUCUGACGGAGCAACGCCGCGUGAGCGAUGAAGGCCUUCGGGUCGUAAAGCUCUGUUGUUAGGGAAGAACAAGUGCUAGUUGAAUAAGCUGGCACCUUGACGGUACCUAACCAGAAAGCCACGGCUAACUACGUGCCAGCAGCCGCGGUAAUACGUAGGUGGCAAGCGUUGUCCGGAAUUAUUGGGCGUAAAGCGCGCGCAGGCGGUUUCUUAAGUCUGAUGUGAAAGCCCCCGGCUCAACCGGGGAGGGUCAUUGGAAACUGGGAAACUUGAGUGCAGAAGAGGAAAGUGGAAUUCCAAGUGUAGCGGUGAAAUGCGUAGAGAUUUGGAGGAACACCAGUGGCGAAGGCGACUUUCUGGUCUGUAACUGACGCUGAGGCGCGAAAGCGUGGGGAGCAAACA